UCUACGAGUUUGAUCCUGGCUCAGAACGAACGCUGGCGGCAGGCCUAACACAUGCAAGUCGAGCGAACCCUUCGGGGUUAGCGGCGGACGGGUUAGUAACGCGUGGGAAUAUACCCUUUGGUACGGAAUAGCCUCGGGAAACUGAGAGUAAUACCGUAUGUGCCCUUCGGGGAAGAUUAUCGCCAAAGGAUUAGCCCGCGUUGGAUUAGAUAGUUGGUGGGGUAAUGGCCUACCAAGUCUACGAUCCAUAGCUGGUUUGAGAGGAUGAUCAGCAACACUGGGACUGAGACACGGCCCAGACUCCUACGGGAGGCAGCAGUGGGGAAUCUUAGACAAUGGGCGCAAGCCUGAUCUAGCCAUGCCGCGUGGACGAUGAAGGCCUUAGGGUUGUAAAGUCCUUUCAGAUGGGAAGAUAAUGACGGUACCAUCAGAAGAAGCCCCGGCUAACUCCGUG
Molecule: ribosomal RNA, 454 nt
Filed under: uncultured bacterium
Lineage: Bacteria
Description: bacterial SSU rRNA
Rfam family: Bacterial small subunit ribosomal RNA
Source: RNAcentral